RNAcentral lists this ribosomal RNA (342 nucleotides) under Campylobacter concisus. Its description in RNAcentral is "bacterial SSU rRNA". It matches the Rfam family "Bacterial small subunit ribosomal RNA", at positions 1185 to 1533 of the family's 1533-position model. The record is from RNAcentral. Lineage: Bacteria; Pseudomonadati; Campylobacterota; Epsilonproteobacteria; Campylobacterales; Campylobacteraceae.
UCAAGUCAUCAUGGCCCUUAUGUCCGGGGCGACACACGUGCUACAAUGGCAUAUACAAUGAGAAGCAAUAUCGCGAGAUGGAGCAAAUCUAUAAAAUAUGUCCCAGUUCGGAUUGGAGUCUGCAACUCGACUCCAUGAAGCCGGAAUCGCUAGUAAUCGUAGAUCAGCCAUGCUACGGUGAAUACGUUCCCGGGUCUUGUACUCACCGCCCGUCACACCAUGGAGUUGAUUUCACUCGAAGCCGGAAUACUAAAUUAGUUACCGUCCACAGUGGAAUCAGCGACUGGGGUGAAGUCGUAACAAGGUAACCGUAGGAGAACCUGCGGUUGGAUCACCUCCUUU